This is a non-coding RNA of Solanum lycopersicum (tomato), 1964 nucleotides long. Lineage: Eukaryota; Viridiplantae; Streptophyta; Magnoliopsida; Solanales; Solanaceae. The record is from RefSeq and is a predicted model, not a curated record.
UUUUCUUUCAUAUUUUGUUUUGAUUUGACCACUUCUUGUGCCUAUUUUGUUCUACUUCCUCUCCAUACAUUUUUCCUAUUUACUCUUAAAUAAUGACCAAAAAAUAGGUAUUAUACUAAUUAUGAAACUCCAAAAUUCUCUUCUUCUUCAAUCCUCUUCUCCUUCAACCCUUUCUUUUCUCAAUUCAUCUCCAAAAUCAAACAAAUGGGGUCAUAAAAAUCCAAACUUUAUUUGUAAACUUGUUCUUUUUAGCCCAAAAUCACUUGGUUCACAAUAUUUUGAGAAAAAUGAGUCUAAAGGUCAUAGUAGAAGCAUACAACCAUGUUGUUGUAGUUCAAGAUUUGAUGAAGAAAAAUUUGAUGGUGAAGGGAUUGAAAGAGGGGAAAAUGAAGGGUCUUGUGCAAUUUUUGGGAGUAAAGAUUCAAUUUUUCCAUCAAAAUUUGAGUCUCUUGAGCCAAGUUUGUUUGGUAUUGAGGCAGAACCAGAAGCACCCUAUUGGCCAGAAAGGGAGGAAGUUUUAUGGGCACAUAUAGAACAAAAAGCCAAAAGUUUUGGACUUCCUUUGUCACUUAGAAUGAUGCAAAAGAAACAUCAAUGGGAAUCUUGUAGAUUUAAAGAUUUAAAGGUAACAAAUUCUUGCACAUCAAAGGCUUUAAAUUCAUUGGUAUUUAUUAUUGUGGAGCUGCAAACUUAUGCAUUGCAUAUGAGGGAAUCAAUUUGUAAUGAAGAUUUAGAAAUGAUUAUUGAUAAAGUGCAAAGGGAUAUGUAUGCAUCAUUUGUAUGUCUUUUUCGACAAGUAUUUUCGCAAACACCUAUGUUAAUGAUGGAGGUAAUGACUCUCUUGGCUAACUUUAGUGUUUACUCUGCUUCUGGUGAGAAUUGUGAUCAACCAUAUCUAAAAGUUCAUUAUCCUGAUAUUGUUCCUCAAGAUGUGUCAAAAGUAGUGUGGACUGAUGAAGAGAAAGAAUUGUGGGAUUCAAUACAAGAUGAAGCUUUGAAUAUGAGGGGUGGUUCAAGGGGCAUUGAUUUUGAUAAUGAAGUCAUGUCGAAGUUUGUUUCGCCAUUGUCAGUGGAGAUUGAACCAGAUAAUAGUGUUGACUAUUAUAAGACUGAUCUUGUUUAUCAGAUGAAUCUCACACAUGAGCCUAAUAACACUCUUUUGCUAUGCAAUUAUGCAAACUUUCUGAAAGUCUUCGUUCGAGAUAAUAAUAGUUACUGUUCAGAUUGACUUGGACCGUUCUUCCUUGAGCCAAGGGUCUAUCAUAAACAACAUCUCUAUCUGAGGGCGGAGGAGUGCUUCAAACGGGCAGUCCAAGUGGAACCACCGGAUGCAGAGGCCCUAUGUCAGUACGCGAUCUUCUUGUGGAAGGUUAAGAACGAUUUAUGGGGAGCAGAAGAAAAAUACCAACAGGCAGUGGCAGCUGAGCCUAGGAACCCUUAUUAUAGAUGUACAUAUGCCAAUUUCUUGUGGAACACGGGUGGCGAGGAAACUUGUUUCCUUCCAAGUAGUACUUCUUCUAUCAAUAACAAGAAGGGUGAAGAAGUUUAGUCGUAACAGAGAAAAAUUGUUCAAGAAAUGCAUCAAACUAAGGAGAAAAAUGGGAAAUGGCUAUAUUAUUUGUUCUUGAUUUUCUGUGUCUAGAUUGAGUAGAGUGAUUUGCAUGGGAGCUGUUCACCACCACCAACAACAACAUCUACGGUUCAGUACCAAACAAGUUGAGGUCGACUAUAUGAAUCUGUACUGUCAUAGUUCGAGGUCAAUUUUGUGGUCGAUAAUAAGUGAAUUGAGUUCUCAAAUUUUUGUAGAGUAGGGUAUUUCAUCUUUUGACUGACUUGUUAUUAAUAUAUUUUUGUAUUUUUGAGUGAGUUUGGUAAAAAAAAAAUUAUAAUCAAUUGGGAAUGUCUUGUAUGAUUAAUCAUUGUGUUACUUCCUACAUUGUAUAUCAACGUACAUUUUUUUCUUU